UAGGGAAUCUUCCACAAUGGACGAAAGUCUGAUGGAGCAACGCCGCGUGAGUGAUGAAGGGUUUCGGCUCGUAAAACUCUGUUGUUGGAGAAGAACGGGUGUCAGAGUAACUGUUGACAUCGUGACGGUAUCCAACCAGAAAGCCACGGCUAACUACGUGCCAGCAGCCGCGGUAAUACGUAGGUGGCAAGCGUUGUCCGGAUUUAUUGGGCGUAAAGCGAGCGCAGGCGGUUUUUUAGGUCUGAUGUGAAAGCCUUCGGCUUAACCGGAGAAGUGCAUCGGAAACCGGGAGACUUGAGUGCAGAAGAGGACAGUGGAACUCCAUGUGUAGCGGUGAAAUGCGUAGAUAUAUGGAAGAACACCAGUGGCGAAGGCGGCUGUCUGGUCUGCAAACUGACGCUGAGGCUCGAAAGCAUGGGUAGCGAACAGGAUUAGAUACCCUGGUAGUCCAUGCCGUAAACGAUGAGUGCUAAGUGUUGGAGGUUUCCGCCCUUCAGUGCUGCAGCUAACGCAUUAAGCACUCCGCCUGGGGGAGUACGACCGCAAGGUUGAAAC
RNAcentral lists this ribosomal RNA (555 nucleotides) under uncultured bacterium. RNAcentral's name for it is "partial 16S ribosomal RNA". It matches the Rfam family "Bacterial small subunit ribosomal RNA", at positions 355 to 900 of the family's 1533-position model. The record is from RNAcentral.